RNAcentral lists this ribosomal RNA (505 nucleotides) under uncultured bacterium. Its description in RNAcentral is "partial 16S ribosomal RNA". It matches the Rfam family "Bacterial small subunit ribosomal RNA", at positions 29 to 523 of the family's 1533-position model. The record is from RNAcentral.
AGUGAACGCUGGCGGUAGGCCUAACACAUGCAAGUCGAACGGCAGCACAGGAGAGCUUGCUCUCUGGGUGGCGAGUGGCGGACGGGUGAGGAAUACAUCGGAAUCUACUCUGUCGUGGGGGAUAACGUAGGGAAACUUACGCUAAUACCGCAUACGUCCUACGGGUGAAAGCAGGGGACCUUCGGGCCUUGCGCGAUUGAAUGAGCCGAUGUCGGAUUAGCUAGUUGGCGGGGGAAGGGCCCACCAAGGCGACGAUCCGUAGCUGGUCUGAGAGGAUGAUCAGCCACACUGGAACUGAGACACGGUCCAGACUCCUACGGGAGGCAGCAGUGGGGAAUAUUGGACAAUGGGCGCAAGCCUGAUCCAGCCAUACCGCGUGGGUGAAGAAGGCCUUCGGGUUGUAAAGCCCUUUUGUUGGAAAGAAAUCCAGCUGGCUAAUACCCGGUUGGGAUGACGGUACCCAAAGAAUAAGCACCGGCUAACUUCGUGCCAGCCGCCGCGGUAA